This 386-nucleotide RNase P RNA is filed under the name Candidatus Nealsonbacteria bacterium RIFCSPLOWO2_01_FULL_43_32. RNAcentral's name for it is "RNase P RNA component class A". It matches the Rfam family "Bacterial RNase P class A". From Rfam's summary of the family: Ribonuclease P (RNase P) is a ubiquitous endoribonuclease, found in archaea, bacteria and eukarya as well as chloroplasts and mitochondria. Its best characterised activity is the generation of mature 5'-ends of tRNAs by cleaving the 5'-leader elements of precursor-tRNAs. The record is from RNAcentral. Lineage: Bacteria; Candidatus Nealsoniibacteriota.
CAAGCAGGUGAGGCAAUCGGGACGUACAAUUUUGCUUUGCAAAAUGUUACGUUCAGGAAAGUCCGAACUCCUUCCGCCGAUGAGGCGGAUAAAAGGGUAGCGGGUAACACCCGCCGGCGGUGACGCCAGAGAUGCGAACAGAGACGAUGCAGCCACACAACUUCGUGUUAUGUGUCUGAGUGAAACGGUCCCGACGUUAGAGUCGGGACUCCGACCUCGCAAGAGCGUCGGAGCUAAAUUCUUACCUGGGAGCAAGAGCAAACCGGAAGCACUGAGAUUUAUCUUAGAGUUUUCGUGAAAGAGUAGCUCGCCAGAGUCCGACGGCAACGUCGGACCUAGAUAGAUGAUUGCUUUAUACAGAAUUCGGCUUAUUGCCUGCUUGAGCA